This 253-nucleotide ribosomal RNA is filed under the name uncultured bacterium. Its description in RNAcentral is "partial 16S ribosomal RNA". It matches the Rfam family "Bacterial small subunit ribosomal RNA", at positions 524 to 776 of the family's 1533-position model. The record is from RNAcentral.
UACAGAGGGUGCGAGCGUUGUUCGGAAUUAUUGGGCGUAAAGGGCGCGUAGGCGGCGCCACAAGUCACUUGUGAAAACUCUGGGCUCAACUCAGAGCCUGCAAGCGAAACUGUGGUGCUGGAGUAUGGGAGAGGUGCGUGGAAUUCCCGGUGUAGCGGUGAAAUGCGUAGAUAUCGGGUGGAACACCUGUGGCGAAAGCGGCGCACUGGACCAUAACUGACGCUGAGGCGCGAAAGCUAGGGGAGCAAACAGG